RNAcentral lists this long non-coding RNA (460 nucleotides) under Mus musculus (house mouse). RNAcentral describes it as "predicted gene, 36043". Lineage: Eukaryota; Metazoa; Chordata; Mammalia; Rodentia; Muridae. The record is from RNAcentral.
CCUAAUUCUUCUGGGAAAUUAGUGGUUUAAAUUUGAAAUCACUGCCAAUGAUAAAGCAUUCGGAGUGAAAUAUCUGCUUUCCACUUUUGUUUUUCACGGGUGCUGAUGGAAGGAGAGUUCUGCUUCACCUAGAAGACCAUGGUGAGCAGCUGAUGAGUGGAUUCGUCUGAAACUGACUAGACCUCCGCUGCCUCCGUCCCUAAGUACACCACUAACGCAAGCAGGUCCAGCUCCCGUUCUACAGGGAAUCUGCACUCCAUCGUGACGUUGCUGCCAUACUCCACCACGUACAAGUCCUUUGGAGCCGUGAUAGUAAACGCUGAAAAGGAAAGAGGACCAGCCCUCAGAAGACAGAAAACUCCUCCAAACACAUCUGAAAACCUGGGUAAAAGGUUACUAUCAUUUUAUUUAGGGAAUCACAUGAACACUAAAAUUCUUCUUUGAAAUAACUUCAUGGGGC